AAAGACUUUCUGUGAUUACACUUGACCC
RNAcentral lists this non-coding RNA (28 nucleotides) under Rattus norvegicus (Norway rat). The record is from RNAcentral. Lineage: Eukaryota; Metazoa; Chordata; Mammalia; Rodentia; Muridae.